AACGAACGCUGGCGGCAUGCCUAACACAUGCAAGUCGAACGAGACCUUCGGGUCUAGUGGCGCACGGGUGCGUAACGCGUGGGAACCUGCCCUUAGGUUCGGUAUAACUCCCCGAAAGGGGUGCUAAUGCCGGUUAAUCUCUUAGCCCCAAGGAUUUCUGGCUUUUGGAUGGGCCGCCGUUGGAUUCGCUAGUUGGUAGGGUAAAAGCCUACCAAGGGGUCGAUCCCUAGCUGGUCUGAGAGGAUGAUCAGCCACACUGGGAAUGAGACACGGCCCAGACUCCUACGGGAGACAGCAGUGGGGAAUAUUGGACAAUGGGCGAAAGCCUGAUCCAGCAAUGCCGCGGGAGUGAUGAAGGCCUUAGGGUUGUAAAGCUCUUUUACCCGGGAUGAUAAUGACAGUACCGGGAGAAUAAGCUCCGGCUAACUCCGUG
This 433-nucleotide ribosomal RNA is filed under the name uncultured bacterium. RNAcentral's name for it is "partial 16S ribosomal RNA". It matches the Rfam family "Bacterial small subunit ribosomal RNA", at positions 29 to 507 of the family's 1533-position model. The record is from RNAcentral.